UGGGGAAUUUUGGACAAUGGGCGAAAGCCUGAUCCAGCAAUGCCGCGUGUGUGAAGAAGGCCUUCGGGUUGUAAAGCACUUUUGUCCGGAAAGAAAUCCUUGGCUCUAAUACAGUCGGGGGAUGACGGUACCGGAAGAAUAAGCACCGGCUAACUACGUGCCAGCAGCCGCGGUAAUACGUAGGGUGCAAGCGUUAAUCGGAAUUACUGGGCGUAAAGCGUGCGCAGGCGGUUUGCUAAGACCGAUGUGAAAUCCCCGGGCUCAACCUGGGAACUGCAUUGGUGACUGGCAGGCUAGAGUAUGGCAGAGGGGGGUAGAAUUCCACGUGUAGCAGUGAAACGCGUAGAGAUGUGGAGGAAUACCGAUGGCGAAGGCAGCCCCCUGGCCAAUACUGACGCUCAUGCACGAAAGCGUGGGGAGCAAACAGGAUUAGAUACCCUGGUAGUCCACGCCCUAAACGAUGUCAACUAGUUGUUGGGGAUUCAUUUCCUUAGUAACGUAGCUAACGCGUGAAGUUGACCGCCUGGGGAGUACGGUCGCAAGAUUAAAACUCAAAGGAAUUGACGGGGUCAUAGCUGUUUCCU
Molecule: ribosomal RNA, 584 nt
Filed under: uncultured bacterium
Lineage: Bacteria
Description: partial 16S ribosomal RNA
Rfam family: Bacterial small subunit ribosomal RNA
Source: RNAcentral